Molecule: ribosomal RNA, 1341 nt
Filed under: uncultured bacterium
Lineage: Bacteria
Description: partial 16S ribosomal RNA
Rfam family: Bacterial small subunit ribosomal RNA
Source: RNAcentral
GACGAACGCUGGCGGCGUGCUUAACACAUGCAAGUCGAACGGUAAGGCUCCAGCUUGCUGGGGUACACGAGUGGCGAACGGGUGAGUAACACGUGGGUGACCUGCCCUGCACUUCGGGAUAAGCCUGGGAAACUGGGUCUAAUACCGGAUAGGACUGCACCGUGAGGGUGUGGUGGAAAGUUUUUUCGGUGUGGGAUGGGCCCGCGGCCUAUCAGCUUGUUGGUGGGGUAAUGGCCUACCAAGGCGGCGACGGGUAGCCGGCCUGAGAGGGUGGACGGCCACAUUGGGACUGAGACACGGCCCAGACUCCUACGGGAGGCAGCAGUGGGGAAUAUUGCACAAUGGGCGGAAGCCUGAUGCAGCGACGCCGCGUGGGGGAUGACGGCCUUCGGGUUGUAAACUCCUUUCACCAUCGACGAAGGGUUUCUGACGGUAGAUGGAGAAGAAGCACCGGCUAACUACGUGCCAGCAGCCGCGGUAAUACGUAGGGUGCGAGCGUUGUCCGGAAUUACUGGGCGUAAAGAGCUCGUAGGUGGUUUGUCGCGUCGUCUGUGAAAUUCCGGGGCUUAACUCCGGGCGUGCAGGCGAUACGGGCAUAACUUGAGUACUGUAGGGGAGACUGGAAUUCCUGGUGUAGCGGUGAAAUGCGCAGAUAUCAGGAGGAACACCGGUGGCGAAGGCGGGUCUCUGGGCAGUAACUGACGCUGAGGAGCGAAAGCAUGGGGAGCGAACAGGAUUAGAUACCCUGGUAGUCCAUGCCGUAAACGGUGGGCGCUAGGUGUGGGUUUCCUUCCACGGGAUCCGUGCCGUAGCUAACGCAUUAAGCGCCCCGCCUGGGGAGUACGGCCGCAAGGCUAAAACUCAAAGGAAUUGACGGGGGCCCGCACAAGCGGCGGAGCAUGUGGAUUAAUUCGAUGCAACGCGAAGAACCUUACCUGGGCUUGACAUAUACAGGAUCGCGCCAGAGAUGGUGUUUCCCUUGUGGCUUGCAUACAGGUGGUGCAUGGUUGUCGUCAGCUCGUGUCGUGAGAUGUUGGGUUAAGUCCCGCAACGAGCGCAACCCUUGUCUUAUGUUGCCAGCACGUUGUGGUGGGGACUCGUAAGAAACUGCCGGGGUUAACUCGGAGGAAGGUGGGGAUGACGUCAAAUCAUCAUGCCCCUUAUGUCCAGGGCUUCACACAUGCUACAAUGGUCGGUACAGUGGGUUGCCAGUCCGUGAGGGCGAGCUAAUCCCGCAAAGCCGGUCUCAGUUCGGAUCGGGGUCUGCAACUCGACCCCGUGAAGUCGGAGUCGCUAGUAAUCGCAGAUCAGCAACGCUGCGGUGAAUACGUUCCCGGGCCC